GCGACCCCAGGUCAGGCGGGACUACCCGCUGAGUUUAAGCAUAUAAAUAAGCGGAGGAGAAGAAACUAACAAGGAU
Molecule: ribosomal RNA, 76 nt
Filed under: Hookerochloa eriopoda
Lineage: Eukaryota; Viridiplantae; Streptophyta; Magnoliopsida; Poales; Poaceae
Description: partial 26S ribosomal RNA
Rfam family: Eukaryotic large subunit ribosomal RNA
Source: RNAcentral